UGACGUGCAUGUCAAAAAGACAGCUCUGUCGUCUUAUGUUUUAGGGUCUCAAGUAUGUAACCUUGUUAUUGUGAGGACAACGAGGAACACUGGCAACCUGCCAUGUAUGCAAAUGUGUGUAAGGGCAAGGAAGAGGAUCAUCCAUUCAUUUCUACAUGCCUGUCUGUCUGUGAAGUGGUACUGGCAGAGUCUCUUCCACAGCAGCCGGUCCUCAGUGAGGGCCCCCAGCUCGGGGCACACCUGGCCCAGGCUGACCAGGUCCCUGCCAUCCGUCAGACGCUGCAUGAUGUUCAACUGGAGAC
Sander lucioperca (pikeperch) is the source of this 302-nucleotide long non-coding RNA. RefSeq lists it as uncharacterized. The record is from RefSeq and is a predicted model, not a curated record. Lineage: Eukaryota; Metazoa; Chordata; Actinopteri; Perciformes; Percidae. The transcript has 2 exons.